RNAcentral lists this ribosomal RNA (494 nucleotides) under uncultured bacterium. RNAcentral's name for it is "partial 16S ribosomal RNA". It matches the Rfam family "Bacterial small subunit ribosomal RNA", at positions 28 to 507 of the family's 1533-position model. The record is from RNAcentral.
GACGAACGCUGGCGGCGUGCUUAACACAUGCAAGUCGAACGGUGAAGCGCCUUCCUUUUUGGUGGGUGUGGAUGAGUGGCGAACGGGUGAGUAACACGUGAGUAACCUGCUCCCUUCUUCUGGAUAACCGCAUGAAAGUGUGGCUAAUACGGGAUAUUCUGGGUCUGUCGCAUGAUGGGUCUGGGAAAGAUUUUGUUUCGGUGGGGGAUGGGCCCGCGGCCUAUCAGCUUGUUGGUGGGGUGAUGGCCUACCAAGGCGGUGAGGGGUAGCCGGCCUGAGAGGGUGGGCGGCCACAGAGGUGAGGCGCGGCCGAGAAGACUACGAGGGGAGGCAGCAGUGGAGCAUAUGGCACAGGCGGAAGAAGGAUGGAGCAGCGACGCGGCGGGGAUGAUGGUCGUCUGCGGGUUGUGAUCUGCUUUCGGGGGUGAAGCAAGGUGGAAGUGUUUGUGGGUGGGUUGACGGUAGCUAAAUAAGAAGCGCCGGCUAACUACGUG